AGAAUCAACGCUGGCGGCGUGCCUAACACAUGCAAGUCGAACGAGAAAGGGCAGCAAUGCCUGAGUAAAGUGGCGCACGGGUGAGUAACACGUGACUAACCUACCUUUGAGUGGGGGAUAACCUAGGGAACCUGGGCUAAUACCGCAUAAUACCUACGGGUCAAGGCGAGCAAUCGCGCUUAAAGAGGGGGUCGCGGCAGAUUAGCUAGUUGGUGAGGUAAUGGCUCACCAAGGCGAUGAUCUGUA
RNAcentral lists this ribosomal RNA (246 nucleotides) under uncultured bacterium. Its description in RNAcentral is "partial small subunit ribosomal RNA". It matches the Rfam family "Bacterial small subunit ribosomal RNA", at positions 26 to 285 of the family's 1533-position model. The record is from RNAcentral.